CGUUGAUAGGUCGGGUGUGUAAGCGCAGUAAUGCGUUCAGCUAACCGAUACUAAUUGCCCGUAAGGUUGAUCCUAUAACA
Molecule: ribosomal RNA, 80 nt
Filed under: Burkholderia multivorans
Lineage: Bacteria; Pseudomonadati; Pseudomonadota; Betaproteobacteria; Burkholderiales; Burkholderiaceae
Description: partial 23S ribosomal RNA
Rfam family: Bacterial large subunit ribosomal RNA
Source: RNAcentral